Molecule: ribosomal RNA, 465 nt
Filed under: uncultured bacterium
Lineage: Bacteria
Description: partial 16S ribosomal RNA
Rfam family: Bacterial small subunit ribosomal RNA
Source: RNAcentral
CCUACGGGAGGCUGCAGUAGGGAAUCUUCCACAAUGGACGAAAGUCUGAUGGAGCAACGCCGCGUGAGUGAAGAAGGGUUUCGGCUCGUAAAGCUCUGUUGGUAGUGAAGAAAGAUAGAGGUAGUAACUGGCCUUUAUUUGACGGUAAUUACUUAGAAAGUCACGGCUAACUACGUGCCAGCAGCCGCGGUAAUACGUAAGUGGCAAGCGUUGUCCGGUUUUAUUGGGCGUAAAGCGAGUGCAGGCGGUUCAAUAAGUCUGAUGUGAAAGCCUUCGGCUCAACCGGAGAAUUGCAUCAGAAACUGUUGGACUUGAGUGCAGAAGAGGAGAGUGGAACUCCAGGUGUAGCGGUGGAAUGCGUAGAUAUAUGGAAGAACACCAGUGGCGAAGGCGGCUCUCUGGUCUGCAACUGACGCUGAGGCUCGAAAGCAUGGGUAGCGAACAGGAUUAGAUACCCGGGUAGUC